This 65-nucleotide transfer RNA is filed under the name Pinus thunbergii (Japanese black pine). RNAcentral's name for it is "partial tRNA-Leu". The record is from RNAcentral. Lineage: Eukaryota; Viridiplantae; Streptophyta; Pinopsida; Pinales; Pinaceae.
CGGAAUUGGUAGACGCUACGGACUUGGCUUUAUAGACCGUGAGGGUUCAAGUCCCUCUAUCCCCA